Pristis pectinata (smalltooth sawfish) is the source of this 391-nucleotide long non-coding RNA. RefSeq lists it as uncharacterized. Lineage: Eukaryota; Metazoa; Chordata; Chondrichthyes; Rhinopristiformes; Pristidae. The transcript is spliced from 3 exons. The record is from RefSeq and is a predicted model, not a curated record.
AGCUUGGACAAGCCGAACCAAACACACACGAAGUCGGGCUCGUUGCUCAUCAGUAGGGCCACCGUCUCCCCGGCUCGCAACCCAGCCCGGGGCCGAGCGAAGACCUGGGCGACCUGGUCGCUCCUUCUAUCCACCUCCCGACCUCAAAACAUCAAAGAGCUCUCCAUUUUGCAAUCAAGUACCAAGAGAAGUAAAGGCUCCUGACCAAACAGAUGGAAGAAGUUGACUGAAAUAAAUUCCCCUGGAUUGGAGGAAAAUCCAUCAUGUAAAGAUGGGUAAGGUUAGAACAUUACAGAAGAAACAGGGAAGAUCAGAAGUGGUUUCCCGAAGUGAGCUGGGAACAUAGAAGGGCACGCAAGCCAAAUCCUGAUGGUCCACCACAGUUCUUCAA